RNAcentral lists this ribosomal RNA (491 nucleotides) under uncultured bacterium. Its description in RNAcentral is "bacterial SSU rRNA". It matches the Rfam family "Bacterial small subunit ribosomal RNA", at positions 8 to 518 of the family's 1533-position model. The record is from RNAcentral.
AGAGUUUGAUCCUGGCUCAGGAUGAACGCUGGCGGCGUGCCUAGCACAUGCAAGUCGAGCGGAGUUAAGUUUCGGAUUUAACUUAGCGGCGGAUGGGUGAGUAACACGUGGGUAACCUGCCCUGCACAGGGGGAUAACAGUUGGAAACGACUGUUAAUACCGCAUAUGCACACAGCACCGCAUGGUGCCGGGUGGAAAGAUUUAUCGGUGCAGGAUGGGCCCGCGUCGGAUUAACUUGUUGGCAGGGUAAUGGCCUACCAAGGUGAUGAUCCGUAGCCGGCCUGAGAGGGCGACCGGCCACAUUGGGACUGAGACACGGCCCAAACUCCUACGGGAGGCAGCAGUGGGGAAUAUUGCACAAUGGGCGCAAGCCCUGAUGCAGCGACGCCGCGUGAAGGAUGAAGUAUUUCGGUAUGUAAACUUCUAUCAGCGGGGAAGAAGAUGACGGUACCCGACUAAGAAGCCCCGGCUAACUACGUGCCAGCCGCCGC